GAAAUGCGAUAAGUAAUAUGAAUUGCAGAAUUCAGUGAAUCAUCGAAUCUUUGAACGCACCUUGCGCUCCUUGGUAUUCCUUGGAGCAUGCCUGUUUGAGUAUCAUGAAAUCUUCAAAGUAAAUCUUUUGUUAACUCAAUUGGUUUCUACUUUGGUAUUGGAGGUUUUUGCAGCUUCACACCUGCUCCUCUUUGUUCAUUAGCUGGAUCUCAGUGUUAUGCUUGGUUCCACUCGGCGUGAUAAGUUAUCUAUCGCUGAGGACACUGUAAAAGGUGGCCAAGGUAAAUGCAGAUGAACCGCUUCUAAUAGUCCAUUGACUUGGACAAUACUUUUAUGAUCUGAUCUCAAAUCAGGUAGGACUACCCGCUGAACUUAAGC
RNAcentral lists this unclassified non-coding RNA (378 nucleotides) under plant metagenome. Its description in RNAcentral is "partial contains 5.8S ribosomal RNA, internal transcribed spacer 2, and large subunit ribosomal RNA". The stretch from base 1 to 105 matches the Rfam family "5.8S ribosomal RNA", at positions 50 to 154 of the family's 154-position model. The record is from RNAcentral.